GAGCCGGGUGUGAUCUCUGGGUGGUCAACUCCAGCACCCUCCUACCCCCCUGCACCCUCUGACAGCUAUGCCCCCCACUUCCAGAAGACACCUCUCUGUGGAUCUGACUUCUCAGCUAGAGUUCCUUGGAGAGAAUUAUUAACCAGCUCCAUCAAAACCGGAACGUGAGCAGUCAAGGAGAAAAAGAGCUGGCGAGAGAAACUUCUUGAAAAAUACCUCACCACCAUUAGCCCAGGCCCACUGUGAAGCAGGCCCGACAGCACAGCAUGUUCUGCUUAGGAGAUCCAGGAAGCUCUGGCCUGGCCCUCCCUUCGAGAAAGGAAAGUCCAAGUAAAGAGGGAUGCCACACCCUGGGGGAGGGGAGAGAGGAUGUGACGACACCUCCAGGAAUGCAGGGCCCACGCAGGUGUGUUGGCACCCACAAACUUCCUUUUAAAAAGAGCCUGAUAAAUCAGGACUGAUAACAGCAAUAAAGCUCAACCACCCAACCAUCGCCCACACAGAGAUGAGGCCCUUGUUCCCAGGGCGUGGCCCUGGCGGCUGGGGAAAGGAGGGUGACACCUGAGAAUGGAGAUCCCUCAGGAC
This is a long non-coding RNA of Phyllostomus hastatus (greater spear-nosed bat), 585 nucleotides long. RefSeq lists it as uncharacterized. The record is from RefSeq and is a predicted model, not a curated record. The transcript is spliced from 3 exons. NCBI's taxonomy places the organism in Eukaryota, Metazoa, Chordata, Mammalia, Chiroptera, Phyllostomidae.